Grammomys surdaster is the source of this 1673-nucleotide long non-coding RNA. RefSeq lists it as uncharacterized. NCBI's taxonomy places the organism in Eukaryota, Metazoa, Chordata, Mammalia, Rodentia, Muridae. The record is from RefSeq and is a predicted model, not a curated record. The transcript is spliced from 2 exons.
AGCUGUGGCUGCUAAAGAAGGUCUGAGGUUAGACCAGCAUUCAGGGACAACAUCUCCCAGGAAGUGACACCUAAUGAAAAGAGACACUUCUUUGAGUUGGGUAUGAGUGAUCAAAAUGGAAAUUAAGAGCAGGUGUGUAAUAGACCCACAGAUGAAAAGACAAUGUGUAGGAAAAACUACACUAAAGAAGGAAAAAGAUCUGUAUCCUAAAACCAAAACACUGUAGAGAGAAAUUACAGAACACUCAAGGAGAUGGCUCCGUUGGUAAAGUGCUUGCCGCACAAACAUGAGGACAUGAGUUCAAAUCCCAGGACCCAUGUAAAAAGUUGGCUUGUUGGCAGAUACUUGAACAGGCAGAGACAUUAGGAUUUCUGGUGCUCAAUAUACUGCUAAAUUUGACUAAUGGUUGACCUGAAAGCCAAGGACAGACUUGUCUCAAAAGCAAGGGGAACACCUCCUCAGGAGAAUGUUAGAGUGGUCCUGUCAUAUCCACAUGUGUGUGUGCACAUAUGCUAAUAUGCACAUACAUACACAUACUGCCCCAAACUGGAUUUUUAAAAAAAGUAGGGAAAUAAUAAAAAUGUAAGAUAUUUCUCAGUUGCAAAAUGGAAAUAUUCAUAUAGUAAACUCCUUACAACACAAAACAGCGUGGAUGACACACUGACAUGUUUCUUCCCCUACAGGCCAGUAGAGUAAAGCCUAAACCCCAGCCAGCUCUCCCAGCUUCUCUAUACAACAACAUACCCAGCCAGCACCGGGAUUACCUCUUCAAGCAAACCAGUCUUUACCCGCACGUUAGCACCUGUCAGUGAUGUUCUCUCACCCAAAAAGCAUAUACCCACUCUUCAAGGUUUAUAUAGCCCUUGUUACCCGCCCCCCACCCAAUAAAAGGGAGAUGUUUUCCUGAAAACCUCUCAGAGAAGGCCGUUUCUCCCUGGGACUCACUCACCUUCCAUCCCAGCGGGUGCACAGAGGUGCCUGGAUAUCCUGAUUGCAGAAGAAGAACUGAGCUUGCAAACAGUUGCUUUACUCCCAGCCGUCUCUCAGAGAUCUCUUGAUCCUCCUCCCACCGUAAGAGACUUCUAAGACGAUGGCAGACUCACCACAGAUACAUGUCAGAGGGAGGGAGACAAGGACUGUGGUCUACAUUGAGAACCACUGCUUGGAAACUGGGGUUCUUCUCUCUCUUACUCCCUGGACACUGCUACCUCAUCCACAGUCUAGACUCCUCCAUCUCGCCUAGGAGAAGACUUCCUUCCAGUCUGUCUCAACAUUUGAAAGUCGGCGUGUCAGCUUCCACCAAAGAGCCUGCAGGCAGAAGAAAAUCCAUAGACUGCAUGUCAGAUAUUUACAUAUGAUUCAUAACAGUAGCAAACUCACAGCUAUGAAAUAACUGUAUAUUGUGGGUCGCCAGAACAUGAGGAACUGUAUUAAAGGGUCAGAGCAUUAGGAAAGCUGAGAACCCUUGAAUUGGAAGAUACAGUAGUACCUCUUUAGAUUGGGGCUAGCCUGGGCUACAUGAGACUUUGUCUUGAAGCAAAGAGCAAAGCUUACCAAAUCUCCAAACAGCACAGAGAGGUCGUCUAUUAGUUCUUUUUUGGCUGGAGAUGAAGAACUUGAAGAUGAUAUCAUUUUCUCUCCAGAUUGAGAUAAAGAAACUUUGUGACUAUUAA